UCAUAUGCUUGUCUCAAAGAUUAAGCCAUGCAAGUGUCAGUUCAUGCCAAACUAAGGUGAAACCGCGAAAUGCUCAUUAAAUCAGUUAUAGUUUACUUGAUGGCAUGACGUUACCGUUACUUGGAUAACUGUGGCAAUUCUAGAGCUAAUACAUGAACUCGAGUCCCGACCGUUCGUGCGGAAGGGAUGCUUUUAUUAGAUCAAAAUCAAUCGGGAAAUCGUCGGGCUUUGCCGGGCGACGUACCGUACAGUCUUGGUGACUCUGGAUAAAUUGUCGCUGAUCGCAAGGUCUCCGCACCUGCGACGCAUCUUUCAAAUGUCUGACUUAUCAACUAUCGACGGUAUGCCACGUGCCUACCGUGGUGGUAACGGGUAACGGGGAAUCAGGGUUCGAUUCCGGAGAGGGAGCCUGAGAAACAGCUACCACAUCCAAGGAAGGCAGCAGGCGCGCAAAUUACCCACUCCCGGCACGGGGAGGUAGUGACGAAAAAUAACGAUGCAGAACUCUAUAAUGAGGCUCUGCAAUCGGAAUGAGAAGACUCUAAAUCAUUUACCGAGUAUCCAUUGGAGGGCAAGUCUGGUGCCAGCAGCCGCGGUAAUUUCAGCUUCCAAUAGCGU
RNAcentral lists this ribosomal RNA (618 nucleotides) under Dennyus hirundinis. RNAcentral's name for it is "bacterial SSU rRNA". It matches the Rfam family "Eukaryotic small subunit ribosomal RNA", at positions 24 to 600 of the family's 1831-position model. The record is from RNAcentral. Lineage: Eukaryota; Metazoa; Arthropoda; Insecta; Psocodea; Menoponidae.